AGUGGGGAAUCUUCCGCAAUGGACGAAAGUCUGACGGAGCAACGCCGCGUGGGUGAUGAAGGUUUUCGGAUUGUAAAGCCCUGUCUGGAGGGAAGAAAUAUUGACGGUACCUCCGGAGGAAGCCCCGGCUAACUACGUGCCAGCAGCCGCGGUAAUACGUAGGGGGCAAGCGUUGUCCGGAAUUACUGGGCGUAAAGAGCACGUAGGCGGUCUUUUAAGUCAGAUGUGAAAUAUGCCGGCUCAACCGGCAGGGUGCAUUUGAUACUGGGAGACUAGAGUGCAGGAGAGGAAAGUGGAAUUCCUAGUGUAGCGGUGAAAUGCGUAGAUAUUAGGAGGAACACCGGUGGCGAAGGCGGCUUUCUGGACUGUAACUGACGCUGAGGUGCGAAAGCCAGGGGAGCAAACGGGAUUAGAUACCCCGGUAGUCCUGGCCGUAAACGAUGGGUACUAGGUGUAGGAGGUAUCGACCCCUUCUGUGCCGCAGUUAACACAAUAAGUACCCCGCCUGGGGAGUACGGCCGCAAGGCUG
This 529-nucleotide ribosomal RNA is filed under the name uncultured bacterium. RNAcentral describes it as "bacterial SSU rRNA". It matches the Rfam family "Bacterial small subunit ribosomal RNA", at positions 353 to 896 of the family's 1533-position model. The record is from RNAcentral.